GUCUUAUUGAAAAUAAUUUUAAGUCAAUCUGCCCAAUGAAUUAUUUUAAUGGCUGCAGUAUAAGUAACUGUGCAAAGGUAGCAUAAUCAAUUGAUUUUUAAAUGAAAUCUAGAAUGAAAGGAUUAAUGAAAUAUAUACUGUCUCAUAUUUAUUUUAUAAAUUUAAAAUUUUAAUAAAAAUGUUAAAAUUUAUUUAUGGGACGAUAAGACCCUGUAGAAUUUUAUAUUAAAUUAUAUUAAUAAUUAAUAUAAAUUUUAAUUUAAUAUUUAAUUGGGAGAAUUAUUAAAUUUAAUAAAUUUUAAUUUAUAAAAACUUUAAUUAAAGAAAAUAUUUUGAUCUUAAAUUUUAAAUUAUUAGAUUAAAUUACCUCAGGGAUAACAGCGUUAUAUUUUUUUAUAGAUCUUAUAGAAAAAAAUGAUUGCGACCUCGAUGUUGAAUUAAGAUAAAUUUUAAAUGUAGAAGUUUAAUAAUUAAGUCUGUUCGACUUUUAAAAUCUUACAUGAUUUGAGUUCAAAUCGACGUAAGU
This 526-nucleotide ribosomal RNA is filed under the name Schwarzula coccidophila. Its description in RNAcentral is "partial 16S ribosomal RNA". The stretch from base 374 to 526 matches the Rfam family "Bacterial large subunit ribosomal RNA", at positions 2473 to 2626 of the family's 2925-position model. Lineage: Eukaryota; Metazoa; Arthropoda; Insecta; Hymenoptera; Apidae. The record is from RNAcentral.